RNAcentral lists this ribosomal RNA (422 nucleotides) under Lacticaseibacillus rhamnosus. RNAcentral's name for it is "bacterial SSU rRNA". It matches the Rfam family "Bacterial small subunit ribosomal RNA", at positions 423 to 837 of the family's 1533-position model. Lineage: Bacteria; Bacillati; Bacillota; Bacilli; Lactobacillales; Lactobacillaceae. The record is from RNAcentral.
UCGUAAAACUCUGUUGUUGGAGAAGAAUGGUCGGCAGAGUAACUGUUGUCGGCGUGACGGUAUCCAACCAGAAAGCCACGGCUAACUACGUGCCAGCAGCCGCGGUAAUACGUAGGUGGCAAGCGUUAUCCGGAUUUAUUGGGCGUAAAGCGAGCGCAGGCGGUUUUUUAAGUCUGAUGUGAAAGCCCUCGGCUUAACCGAGGAAGUGCAUCGGAAACUGGAAAACUUGAGUGCAGAAGAGGACAGUGGAACUCCAUGUGUAGCGGUGAAAUGCGUAGAUAUAUGGAAGAACACCAGUGGCGAAGGCGGCUGUCUGGUCUGUAACUGACGCUGAGGCUCGAAAGCAUGGGUAGCGAACAGGAUUAGAUACCCUGGUAGUCCAUGCCGUAAACGAUGAAUGCUAGGUGUUGGAGGGUUUCCGC